GGCAGCUUGGAAAUUCUGAAUGAAAGGUCUUUCUCCUGAGGUUUCAGGUACUUUCACUGUGGAUUGCAGCUUUAUCACUGAAAAUUCUAUUUUCACAAAUCUUUUGGUGGUCCCAGUUGUUAAAUUGGAAGAACUAACUCUUACAGUCCAAAGCGAGUACCUACAAGGCAUCUAAAUCCCAUUGUUAUCUUCAGACUAACACAAAAAGAGGCAAUGAGAAAACAAGGAUUUAUGUCAGACUGGAGCUCCUCAUUAUCAACCUGCUACCUUGAGAUUGAAAAAAGAAUUCCUGCAACUCGAUUCUUC
This is a long non-coding RNA of Melospiza melodia melodia, 306 nucleotides long. RefSeq lists it as uncharacterized. The transcript has 3 exons. NCBI's taxonomy places the organism in Eukaryota, Metazoa, Chordata, Aves, Passeriformes, Passerellidae. The record is from RefSeq and is a predicted model, not a curated record.